GCCCAGGUAGCUCAGUUGGCAGAGCAGGGGACUGAAAAUCCCCGUGUCGGUGGUUCGAUUCCGCCCCUGGGCACCA
RNAcentral lists this transfer RNA (76 nucleotides) under Deltaproteobacteria bacterium. RNAcentral's name for it is "tRNA-Phe". It matches the Rfam family "tRNA". Rfam says of the family: Transfer RNA (tRNA) molecules are approximately 80 nucleotides in length. Their secondary structure includes four short double-helical elements and three loops (D, anti-codon, and T loops). Lineage: Bacteria; Pseudomonadati; Myxococcota; Myxococcia. The record is from RNAcentral. RNAcentral also lists the same sequence under 1 other name.